This 2711-nucleotide long non-coding RNA is filed under the name Heterocephalus glaber (naked mole-rat). RNAcentral describes it as "lncRNA (ENSHGLG00000035358.1)". Lineage: Eukaryota; Metazoa; Chordata; Mammalia; Rodentia; Bathyergidae. The record is from RNAcentral.
GUCCUUUCCUCCUCCUCCUUCCCAAUGUUUCAGUCUGAACUUGGGGAAGGAUGUGGCCUGUCUUCAGGCUGAGCUCAGCACACUGUAACCCAUCAGAUCUCCCUGCAGCCAGGCAUGUCUGCUCCCUGCCAAGCCACAGUUAGGAAGGGACCAUGGCAGCUGUGAUCCUGCUCGGCCUUUGCCUGGCAGACAGCAGUUCAACCACUGUCCUCAAGACAUGGGACAAAGCUGCAAAAGGCAGCUACUGGGAGUUGAUGUUCCUUGUCCCCUGACAACCUAUGAGCCCCCUGCCUAGGGAACUUACCCCCACCACUGCCACUUCCCAAUGACCCUGAUGCGCAGUGUAUCUCCUUGAAUCCUGCCUCUGAAGGGACCAGCUUUAUUUGCUUCUAAACCACCAUGAAGUUUUCCUUGGGACUAGCCCUGGAGCCUUCCAGGUACAACCUGUAGCAUCUACCUGAGGAUGGCUGGAGCCUGGCCAGGUUCAUGGAACCUACCGUGUGAGCGCUGGAGGACCCGCUGCACAGGACCUGCACUUCUGUGUCCAAAGACUAGAGGAAACUCCAGCUCAUAGUUUAGGUGAAUUCCAGCUGUUUCUGCCACUGGAGGGACAAUCUUCUCUAAGCCUGGGAGACCCAUCCCCGGGCCUCUCAGCAACAUGGGUGGAUCCUGUCUCUUGGGUGCUCCCUUCUCCCCUGUGCCCCAUGGCUUCCCCGCUGAGACAGAGGGGGAUGUCUGGGGAGUUGGGUAGGAACCACAGCCUGGCCAGACUGGGUGGGCAUGGCCACUGCAUGGAGGCGGAGAAUGGCUUUGGGUGCACCUGUGGGUGUUGGGUGCCUUGAAUUCACGACACCGUGCUUUUACUCAGAAGCACGGCUCCCUGGGUGAUACAGGUCCUGGGAGUCAGGAAGCCUUCAACUUCAUCCUGCGAGUCCUGGGCGGUGACUCCCCUGGCUGGCCAAGCCAACUGCAGCUUUAGCUUUGGGGGUCCAUUUACACUUUUCUCCACGUGGAAACCUGCCAGGGCACCCUGCAGCUGGGGAUGGAGGUUGCGGUGCUGGUGUGAGUAGCCAGACCCACCAAGGCCACCAGCACCUGGCAGUCACAGGACAGGCACGAACCGGAGAGUUCCAUAUGCUCAUGCACUGCCCCAGCUUGGGGGGCUGAGAUUCGGUAUUUCCAACCAGGUCCAGAUGCCGCCUGUGUUUCCGGCUUGCCCAGGGCCUGACUUGAGGAGUGAGAUUUCCGGCUGGUCUGCUCUCUAACAUCCUGUUUCAACACCACCCCGUGGCUUCCUAGGUUCUGUCCUCGUGAGUGUAGCCCAUGGCCCCAAGAUCACACUACUGCCCCCGACAUAGACGCCAGGACACUUCCUGUGACAAAAUCACAGUGACCAGAUGCAUGUAUCCUGAAUGCAGGGUCAUGUGUGUGACUCCAAAUGCCAUCCCAGAUAGCUAAGGCCAGAAAGCCUGGAUCAUCCCAGAUAGCUAAGGCCGGGAAGCCUGGAUGAGGAUAUUGCCGGCCCUGGAGGGGGAAUGAGAACCUGGGUGUGGUGACAGACUCAAGUUUGGAGGAAGGGGAUUUCUAGAAGGCAGGUGCAGAAGAGGGCCCUUAUGUCUGCGGAGAGGUUGGCAAGGCUGGUAGGAGGGUAGGCUGCAUACGCGCAGACGUUUGGCUGGGUCUUUCUGGUGAGCAGAAAAGACUUAAAUAAAAUACUAGUUUCCUUUCCUUCUCAGCAAUUUACAGGUGGGGAAAAAAAUUCUAAUUCAAAAGCAGAGGAUGUGGCCCUUGAGGAAGACCGCGCGCCCCCUGCAGGCCCCAGCUGGCACCGCAGGCAGAUUGGUUGAGAGUAAAUCUUGCCUUGAUGCCCAGCCAACUGUUUGUGACCUGGGCAGGUGCCGGGGAAAACAGGCCAGGGCUGUGAUCCCCGGAAAUGAGUGCAGGAUGAACAGACCAGAGCCUGAGUGGGGUGCAGCGGGGAGCGGGUAAGGAAAAGGAUGUCACGGGGCUCUAGGACUGCUAGGUUUGAGAAAGUUUGGGUUUGAGAAAGACGGGUGGUGGUGUAAUGAUAGGCGCUGAUGAUUGCAGAGCAAAUGAAUACAGCCAAGUGCUUGGAAGCUGGCUGAGCGGUGACCCAGACUGGCCCGAGGAAGAAAUAGUUGUAGAGGACAGAAAUCUUCAACAGCACUGUGUAAAAAGCGACUAGCAAGUGGAGGUCCUCCGUCCACCAGCCUGACUUCCUGCAGAAUUUCCCCAUUUGUCUCAGCCUUUGCAGCUCUGCACACCAUCCCAGGGACUCUCAGGCAUCACUCUCGGGACUUCUCUCAAGCAUGCCUUGGCCUAGGCACUCCUUUUGUGGGCAAACCUUCGGUGGCUCCCUAUUUCCAAGAGAGUAAAAGUCCAAACUAUUUAUCUUAGUUUAGGAGGCUCUACAAAGCCCACUCCUGGCUCUGCCUGCCUUGUCCUCCACUAACGUUGCCCGCACUGCCCUUUCAUCUCUGCCCAGCUAACGCCGUCCAUUAUUCCUGAAUAUUCUACAUGCUUUCUGCCUCUUGCAUGGCCCUUUUGGGCCAACACAACACCAAGUUCCAAUUCCACUUUUUUUUUCUGGUACUGGGGAUCGAAUUCGGGUCCUUGCACUUUCCAGGCAGGCGGUGGAACCACUGAGCUAAAUCCCCGGUCCUCCAGUUCCACUUUUAAGUGGCAGUGCU